This 1364-nucleotide ribosomal RNA is filed under the name Acinetobacter schindleri CIP 107287. RNAcentral's name for it is "bacterial LSU rRNA". It matches the Rfam family "Bacterial large subunit ribosomal RNA", at positions 1583 to 2925 of the family's 2925-position model. Lineage: Bacteria; Pseudomonadati; Pseudomonadota; Gammaproteobacteria; Moraxellales; Moraxellaceae. The record is from RNAcentral.
CAGUGAAGUGGCUGAUACCAUACUUCCAGGAAAAGUCUCUAAGCUUCAGUUAAACAGGAAUCGUACCCGAAACCGACACAGGUGGUCAGGUCGAGUAGACCAAAGCGCUUGAGAGAACUCUGCUGAAGGAACUAGGCAAAAUGGUACCGUAACUUCGGGAGAAGGUACGCUGCCGGCGGUGAUAGGACUUGCUCCUUGAGCUGUUGGCAGCCUCAGAAACCAGGCCCCUGCAACUGUUUAUUAAAAACAUAGCACUCUGCAAACACGAAAGUGGACGUAUAGGGUGUGAUGCCUGCCCGGUGCUGGAAGGUUAAUUGAUGUGGUUAGCGCAAGCGAAGCUAUUGAUCGAAGCCCCAGUAAACGGCGGCCGUAACUAUAACGGUCCUAAGGUAGCGAAAUUCCUUGUCGGGUAAGUUCCGACCUGCACGAAUGGCAUAAUGAUGGGGGCGCUGUCUCCAGCAGAGGCUCAGUGAAAUCGAAAUCGCCGUGAAGAUGCGGUGUACCCGCGGCUAGACGGAAAGACCCCGUGAACCUUUACUGCAGCUUGACAUUGAACUUUGAUCUUACUUGUGUAGGAUAGGUGGGAGGCUUUGAAGUCGCGACGCUAGUUGCCAUGGAGCCGUCCUUGAAAUACCACCCUGGUAAUAUUGAGGUUCUAACUCUGUCCCGUUAUCCGGGACGAGGACCAUGUCUGGUGGGUAGUUUGACUGGGGCGGUCUCCUCCUAAAGAGUAACGGAGGAGUACGAAGGUGCGCUCAGCGUGGUCGGAAAUCACGCGUAGAGUAUAAAGGCAAAAGCGCGCUUAACUGCGAGACCCACAAGUCGAGCAGGUACGAAAGUAGGUCUUAGUGAUCCGGUGGUUCUGUAUGGAAGGGCCAUCGCUCAACGGAUAAAAGGUACUCUGGGGAUAACAGGCUGAUACCGCCCAAGAGUUCAUAUCGACGGCGGUGUUUGGCACCUCGAUGUCGGCUCAUCUCAUCCUGGGGCUGAAGCAGGUCCCAAGGGUAUGGCUGUUCGCCAUUUAAAGAGGUACGCGAGCUGGGUUUAGAACGUCGUGAGACAGUUCGGUCCCUAUCUACCGUGGGCGCUGGAAAUUUGAGAGGAUCUGCUCCUAGUACGAGAGGACCAGAGUGGACGAACCUCUGGUGUACCGGUUGUGACGCCAGUCGCAUCGCCGGGUAGCUAUGUUCGGAAGGGAUAACCGCUGAAAGCAUCUAAGCGGGAAGCCUACCUCAAGAUAAGAUUUCCCUGUGACUUUAUGUCACCUAAAGAGCCGUUGAAGACUACGACGUUGAUAGGUUGGAUGUGGAAGUGUAGCGAUACAUGAAGCUGACCAAUACUAAUUGCUCGUGAGGCUUGACUAU